UACGGAGGGUGCGAGCGUUAAUCGGAAUAACUGGGCGUAAAGCGCAUGCAGGCGGGUUUUUAAGUCAGGUGUGAAAUCCCCGGGCUUAACCUGGGAAUUGCAUUUCAUACUGGAAGUCUAGAGUACGUUAGGGGGGGGUAGAAUUCCACGUGUAGCGGUGAAAUGCGUAGAGAUGUGGAGAAUACCGAAGGCGAAGGCAGCCCCUUGGGAAUGUACUGACGCUCAUGUGCGAAAGCGUGGGGAGCAAACAGG
This 252-nucleotide ribosomal RNA is filed under the name uncultured bacterium. RNAcentral describes it as "partial 16S ribosomal RNA". It matches the Rfam family "Bacterial small subunit ribosomal RNA", at positions 524 to 776 of the family's 1533-position model. The record is from RNAcentral.